Long non-coding RNA from Bufo bufo (common toad), 146 nucleotides. RefSeq lists it as uncharacterized. The record is from RefSeq and is a predicted model, not a curated record. Lineage: Eukaryota; Metazoa; Chordata; Amphibia; Anura; Bufonidae. The transcript is spliced from 4 exons.
GCAGCCAGCCCCUUCAUAUGCAAGCUGUUGUGCAUUUUCAUGAGUGUACAGUAUUAUCUAAUGAUAUUAUAGCCAAAAUGAAUGUUCAUUGCAUUUAAGAAUGAAAUCAGCUUGAACCAAAGUUCUGUUAUGUGGCUGAAGAGGCC